GAGUUUGAUCCUGGCCAGGAUGAACGCUGGCGGCGUGCUUAACACAUGCAAGUCGAACGGUGAAGGAGAGCUUGCUCUUUGGAUCAGUGGCGAACGGGUGAGUAACACGUGAGCAACCUGCCCCGGACUCUGGGAUAAGCGCUGGAAACGGCGUCUAAUACUGGAUAUGAGACACCACCGCAUGGUGAGUGUUUGGAAAGAUUUUUCGGUCUGGGAUGGGCUCGCGGCCUAUCAGCUUGUUGGUGAGGUAAUGGCUCACCAAGGCGUCGACGGGUAGCCGGCCUGAGAGGGUGACCGGCCACACUGGGACUGAGACCCGCCCCAGACUCCUACGGGAGGCAGCAGUGGGGAAUAUUGCACAAUGGGCGCAAGCCUGAUGCAGCAACGCCGCGUGAGGGACGACGCCCUUCGGGUUGUAAACCUCUUUUACCAGGGAGGAAGCGAAAGUGACGGUACCUGCAGAAAAAGCGCCGGCGAACUACGUGCCAGCAGCGCGGUAAAAGGGCGAAU
This 510-nucleotide ribosomal RNA is filed under the name uncultured Microbacterium sp. RNAcentral describes it as "bacterial SSU rRNA". It matches the Rfam family "Bacterial small subunit ribosomal RNA", at positions 9 to 537 of the family's 1533-position model. The record is from RNAcentral. Lineage: Bacteria; Bacillati; Actinomycetota; Actinomycetes; Micrococcales; Microbacteriaceae.